Non-coding RNA from Lactuca sativa (garden lettuce), 3912 nucleotides. NCBI's taxonomy places the organism in Eukaryota, Viridiplantae, Streptophyta, Magnoliopsida, Asterales, Asteraceae. The record is from RefSeq and is a predicted model, not a curated record.
GAUCGGUGUUAUUCUUUUUCACCGUUUUUGUUAGAGACCUCAAGAUUCCAUAUAUUGUAUCGUAUCGGCUCGACCAUCUUCACCGCCUCUUUAUCGACUUCACCUUCUUUCUGCUUCUCGCAAUCCUCAUAUUCUUUGGAAAAAUCCGGUCGGCAUCACUACCACACCACCAACAUUCUAUAGUAUCUCCACGACUAUAUGUCGCUGGGUGGAUGGGUUUGUAAAAGGCAAAAGUGAAUCAAGUUUUCUCGCCGUUAGUAGUUCCUCCACGUUUUCUUCGCUUCUCUCGCAACACCGUCUAAUUCUUCUUCUUCUCAAUCAGUUGACAGGAUAACCACCGCUACCAAAAAAGCCCUAAGCUCAUCGACAGUGGAAGAAACGACGAUGUCUUACCGUUUGUCCAUGAAAUUCGCAACACGUUUCGUGGUUUGGCUUGACUUUCAUUCAACAUCAAAAUCGUUCUUUCAACACACACAAUACCGCCUUCCUUUAGUAUCCUCUUGCUUCCAAUCAAAUAACAGAUCGAUAGAGGCAAAAAGAAAGGAAAAGGUCGCUUGACCCGGACCCUGCCUCCUCACCGUCGAUUAUAGCUGUGCACCCUCCUAUGGUGCUAGGGCUCUAAUGGGACGACCGGUGUUACCGUGUUAUGAUCAAUCGAUGAUUGCCUCCAAAAUUUUAGUCACAAUUUCUCAGUCAGUGGCGUAGAUACGAGCAUGUUAACGUGAAAAUAUGCUCGAUUCGUAUAGCAGAGGGAGAACAAGAGGUUCCUAAUUGAUAACUCUUACUUUAUACCUACAACAAAGGGCACCAUAAUUUCGGGGCAACUGAGUAAACUUCGGCCACUUCAUCUCCUUUAUGCUCGAUUGAGAAAAACACAAGCCCAUUUCUAUGGCUACUAACCUCAACUUCUUCUCCUACAUUUAACUACAUGGAUUUAACUACAUGGAUGGAUCCCUGCUUCGCUUAUAUUUUUCAAGUAAACCAAGCCCAAGAGUACUAACCUACUUUUUAAAUAUAUUUUUAAAACAAUAGUUGCUUUAAGUAAAAUUAGUGUCAAGACUUUUGUAUUUGUUAUCUUUAAUAUAUUUUAAAAACAAUAAUUGCUUUGACUAAUUUCAUGUGGGUUCUGUGGAUUGGUUUUCAUUUACGUGUUUCUGAUGACCAUUUGGUAUAAUCCUGUUGGCUUUUGCAUAGGUUUAAUGGCACUACCUAUGCCUUUGUGCAACUACCACCAUUUCCGUUAGCACUACCUUCGUUGAAAAUCACAGGUGGUUCAAUGGCAAGGUACUAACUGGACCUAAAUCACUGCAGACUGCUUAAUUUCUGAUUUUACCCUUAUCUACCACUCGGGAAGCAAAGAGUGGAGGAGCUUGAAUUUAUAUUUGUUAUCUCACUGUCUUAUCCUAAUCAUCUAAUAGCUUAUUAGAUUCUUUUCAUUUAUGUAUAUCUAAUAGCUUAUUAGAUUCUUUUCAUUUAUGUAUACGUUAUUAGACUACAGUUUGUUAUUUGUCUAUUGUUUUUCUAUUAUAAAUUGUAGGUCCAGCAAUAGGUUAUUGAAAUUGUCACCCAUAUAGCUUUUACAACAUCAAAGUUGGCAAAAAAAUGUUUCCUACUUUGCAUAUCAGGUAAUUUUUAAAUUGUAAUUCUAAUUUCAUGUAUGUGAAUGAUAUAUAAUAAUGGAUAUUUGUUCUUUUUCUUAUAAAAAUAUUAUAACGCUGGUUCGAUAUUUGAAGGGCUACAUCAUCCAAAAUCUAACCAAAAUAUAAUAUUUCCUAAUAUGCCCUUCCUUCCUUGAUUUGUAUCUGUAAUGUCAAUUACUAACUUUUGAAGGUAUCUGUAAUUUGGAAUCAUUUCAUGCAGCCGAUUCAAAGUUUGACCAAAAUAUCCUUAUUAAGGAGUGUGCGGUAUCAUAGAAGUGUGUUACUAACUUCUAAUUCAUUUUUUUUUUUUGUUAUUAAUGAUGUGUAAUUUCUUUGUUUCCCAAUAACCACAUGUACUAUUCUAAUUGAUUUGUUUAUCAAUUGCUUAAAUUUUUAUUUUUUUACUUGAGCAUUUUCAUAGGUCUGGCAUUGUAUUUUUUGUAAAGUUUGUUGCUAUUUCCUGUUACUUAUUGGGACCCUGGAUCAACAGAAAGGGCUUGUGAAGACCCCAACCCUAUGAUGGAUUGAGGAAGAGGUAACUGUAAUAUCGCAUCUAUUGGUCGUUCUUGAGCUUCUCCUCAAGGAAGGAAUCAACAUGGGAAUAUUGCAUUUCAAGGGACAAAUACAAUGGGCCAAGGUGCAUCAUCAUAUUACAGUGGUGUAGCACCACCACUUGCUCCUCCUCCGCCACCUCCACCACCACCUUCUGUCAUGUACCCACCGUAUGGGUGACUUUUUCUUACACUUUGUGAAGUUUAGGUGAAAAAGUGAAGUUAAAAAAAAAACAUUUAUAAAUUGAUAAAGAAAGUUGGUCUUGACAGAGGAUAAGUGGGUAAUGGGGGAAUACAUAUACAUAUAUGUUGUUGAAUUUUUUAUAAUUACUUGUGUUCCUUGCUUUAUUGCCAAGUUGGUUGCCAUUGCAGGUUACAUAAAACUGCAGACAACCUUCAGCUUUUUCAGAUUUAAAUGGUCUCAAUUAACUCUUUAUAUUAAUUAUAUAAACUCAUCAAUUAGUAAUUUUUUAAUGAAAAAAAGAUCGAUAUAAUUCGCUAUAAAAAUAGGAAAAUAUGUUCGGUUGUUUUUAAUUUAGGUUUUUGAAUCUACACUUCUUGGUUAAACUGUUUGUUUGAUUUACCAAGUUCUUUUCCUAUAUUAGUUAGUAUAUAAUGUCAGCUAAUUUAGUUAUUUCAUUUAUUUAAUGAGCUUUUUAUCAAGGAAUUUAUACUAAAAUCCGUCUAAAUGUGAUUGUAAAAGAAGUUGUUAAUUUGGCCAUUUGGGUCAUAAUGAUUUCUUCUACUUGGUAUUGAGCUUUGAAAAAUCUAUCUAAUUAUAACAUUGUACUUUUAAAUAUUUUUCUAAUUAAAACACUGCAGUCGAACGCAAAAAGGGAAGAAAGUUUCCCUUUUUUGCAUGAAGUCAUAAAGAAACAGAAAAAAGGAAAGUAUGUUGCUUUUUAACACGAUAAAAUAAAUCAUUUUUCAUAUUUACAGUAUGGCUGUUGUCUGAAGUGCUUUCUGCUGUUUUGUCCAUUUUACCCCUGCUUGGUAAAAACUUUAUACAAAAUAAUCCUUUUGUGAUGUUCAGAUUUUGGUAUUCUUCUCAAUCUAUGAUGAUAUCAGUUACCAUCAUGGACUUUUUAGGCAACCAAAACCACCUAAUCUGGUAUUAUCCACGUGCAUUUUUUGCAUAAUUUUUUUUUUGUCUAAAUCGUUUUAAUAUAUUAAUUGCUGUAAUAUUUUUUGUCCAUAAUGUAAUAAGAUUUCUCUAUGAAGAAAGUGUAUGGAGGGUGUUGGAUUGAUACAAUAAGUCUGACACUAUCCAAAAUGAUCUUAAAAUUAGUCUUUAUUUUCUGAUUUAUUUUACUUAAAUGAUGUUACGGAUUCCAUAAAUAUAAGCCAUUUCUCAUGAGGUUGGAGUCGUUAAAGAAGAUAGUAAAGGCUGGAAUUUGUCCCACCAUCUCCUGGACAUAGAAAAACUUAGGAAGAAGAAAUACUCACGGAUUGAAGGCUAUGCAGGACAUUAAAUGCACAUGUUAGCAAUGAACUUUCAUUCAUUAGUUUAGACUACUUUUAGAGUUCGUUUAUUAGGAUAUUGUAAUCCUAGGGUUAUUGGUGCUGUAUUGUAACUACAACUGGUGGAUUGACAUUAAGCAGUCUGCAGUGAUUUAGGGAUUGGUUGGUAUGGACAAUUUCAGAUUCUAAUACCCCUCCCGACCCAUUCUUUUUAAGUACUUAUUACUCUUGCCAAUUAAUAUCAAGAAACACGUUUAGUC